AACAACGGAUCUCUUGGUUCCAGCAUCGAUGAAGAACG
RNAcentral lists this ribosomal RNA (38 nucleotides) under Imshaugia aleurites. RNAcentral's name for it is "partial 5.8S ribosomal RNA". Lineage: Eukaryota; Fungi; Ascomycota; Lecanoromycetes; Lecanorales; Parmeliaceae. The record is from RNAcentral.